GGGCCCGAAGUUUACCCGGUUUGAACGCAUCAUUUGCAAUGAUGAGGCAGGGAGUUCGACUCUCCCCGGGUCCACCA
This 77-nucleotide transfer RNA is filed under the name Candidatus Woesebacteria bacterium RBG_13_46_13. Its description in RNAcentral is "tRNA-Ala". It matches the Rfam family "tRNA". From Rfam's summary of the family: Transfer RNA (tRNA) molecules are approximately 80 nucleotides in length. Their secondary structure includes four short double-helical elements and three loops (D, anti-codon, and T loops). The record is from RNAcentral. Lineage: Bacteria; Candidatus Woeseibacteriota.